Molecule: non-coding RNA, 1269 nt
Organism: Cricetulus griseus (Chinese hamster)
Lineage: Eukaryota; Metazoa; Chordata; Mammalia; Rodentia; Cricetidae
Source: RefSeq, a predicted model, not a curated record
GGAGACAACUCCAGCCUCUAGGGGGAGCGGAGAUGGCUCAACCAGUAAAGGCUUCCAAUCCCAAAUAAGAUUCCUAAAAUCUUUGAUUUAGCCACUAGGAACCCUAUUCCAAACCAGACGGGGUUCCGGAUUCUCUAGAAGCCCUCCAGGCGGAAGCAUUUAUUCGUCUUCUAUGUUAAGCAUUUAAAUGCAACUUUUGCCAGGAUGUAAGCACAGAAGAAAAACAAUGUUGUUUUACAGCAGCUUGAGGACAUUUAUGUUAUUUUCGGGUAAACUGAAGCACCUCGUCAUUAUUUUAUAAAGCUUCCUUUUACCUCCCCACCCCUGUGUUCAUAAAACAUCAACUAAAGUGAAAUUGGACUGCCCAUAAGAGGAACACAGAUGAAGAGAAUCAGAGAAUAAGAAAAAGUAUUCCCAGGACAAAGCUGUACAUUCUAGCAUAAAAUAGAGGGGAAAAGAAAUAACUAAAAUAAGGAAUAAAUCCAGAAGCAGGGGAAGAUUCCAUAGGUUUACACAGAAAGAAAAUCAAAGCUCAAGACAAUGGAAUAGACAAGAUGGAAAUGGUUGUUCCAGUGUCUGACACCAGCAGCUUCAUGUUCCACAGAGAAUUUCAUGUCUGCUUUAGAUGUUUAUCUAUAAAGUUAAUGACUAGCCAUGGUGGUGUGAAUGUGGCUUGUCCUUAAAGGUUCCUGUGCUGGUUCAUGUGUUUGAUGGGCUGUAUUAAGAUGAGCUGCUUACUUUAAAAGCUGAAUUCCAGUUGGAGAUACUAAGUCAAUCAGAAAUCACUCCAAAACAGUUACUGCUGGUCUUGUGGACUUAGUUCCCAGAACAACAAGCUACUACAAAAUAGCAACUCUUCACCCUUAAACUAUAACUUGUGGUCUUUCCAUAUUUGAUCCAGGUACUUUGAUGCAAAGAAUCCUCACCAGACCUUAGUAAAGCCUAGCACCAUGAUCUUGAAGCCCUUAAGAAUUAAUCAAAUCUGACAGGAUCCGAACUCAGCCGGCAGGCUCCAGCACACCCAGAGACUGCCAAGGCCCCGUUAACAGCCCUACCACCAUCCACCUGCCCAGGAGAAGAGGACAGACAUUAGAGUAUUGAAACUGUUUGCAUCUACCAUAAGGGGACCUUGCACCCAUAAACACCAAGAGAGGAAGAGACUCUUGCUAUACCCACCAGAAGAAAGGAUAGGAAGAAGACAAUAUCAAAGCACAUUCAACAACAAAAAAACCAAUAUGACAACACCAGAGACUAGGGACCAUACACCAG